UAGGGAAUCUUCGGCAAUGGGGGGAACCCUGACCGAGCAACGCCGCGUGAGUGAAGAAGGUUUUCGGAUCGUAAAGCUCUGUUGUUAAGGAAGAACGUGUGUGAGAGUGGAAAGUUCACACAGUGACGGUACUUAACCAGAAAGGGACGGCUAACUACGUGCCAGCAGCCGCGGUAAUACGUAGGUCCCGAGCGUUGUCCGGAUUUAUUGGGCGUAAAGCGAGCGCAGGCGGUUAGAAAAGUCUGAAGUGAAAGGCAGUGGCUCAACCAUUGUAGGCUUUGGAAACUGUUUAACUUGAGUGCAGAAGGGGAGAGUGGAAUUCUAUGUGUAGCGGUGAAAUGCGUAGAUAUAUGGAGGAACACCGGUGGCGAAAGCGGCUCUCUGGUCUGUAACUGACGCUGAGGCUCGAAAGCGUGGGGAGCGAACAGGAUUAGAUACCCUGGUAGUCCACGCCGUAAACGAUGAGUGCUAGGUGUUAGGUCCUUUCCGGGACUUAGUGCCGCAGCUAACGCAUUAAGCACUCCGCCUGGGGAGUACGACCGCAAGGUUG
This 550-nucleotide ribosomal RNA is filed under the name uncultured bacterium. RNAcentral describes it as "bacterial SSU rRNA". It matches the Rfam family "Bacterial small subunit ribosomal RNA", at positions 355 to 896 of the family's 1533-position model. The record is from RNAcentral.